UCAGCCAUUUUCAGCCACCUGCCAUGGUGAAUGGAACACACGGCGAGUGUAGGUCAGCCAGAGGAGAUCCGCAAUCAUUACUGCGCCGGGCCCUGUAGCCUAUUUAAACCCACUCCCUCCUUUCAGGGAUUUCACUUUGCCUGAGAGUCCUGUUGGUGCCCUUCUUCUUCUCCGAGAGUUCCAUCCUGUUCGGCCUUAGGCGUUCUUCGAGUCGAUCCCCAUCUCUAUAUCUCUGCACUUCUCGGACCAACCUAGGUUAGUUUCAAAACUCCCCUCUUUGCUUUUUCUCUUGCUGUUCUUCUUCCAUUUUUCUUUUGUUACAUUUCGCCUGUUCAGUUUUCUGCGAGCGCCCCUUAUCUUAUUUUUCUCAAUUUUUUCGAGAUUUUUAGGAUUUUUGCUCGAUCCAUAAUAUCCUCCAGCACUUCCUCCUCUAGUAGUUCUAGGAGUUCGUCCGUCCCAGCUCCCAAAAACCUCAAUUUUGUAGAUGAACCUCAUCCGAUCUUUGUACCAG
This 511-nucleotide long non-coding RNA is filed under the name Elaeis guineensis (African oil palm). RNAcentral's name for it is "long non-coding RNA (EGUI_LNC020155)". Lineage: Eukaryota; Viridiplantae; Streptophyta; Magnoliopsida; Arecales; Arecaceae. The record is from RNAcentral.